UACGUAGGGUGCAGGCGUUAAUCGGAAUUACUGGGCGUAAAGCGUGCGCAGGCGGUUUGCUAAGACAGGUGUGAAAUCCCCGGGCUUAACCUGGGAACUGCGCUUGUAACUGGCAAGCUUGAGUGUGGCAGAGGGGGGUGGAAUUCCACGUGUAGCAGUGAAAUGCGUAGAGAUGUGGAGGAACACCGAUGGCGAAGGCAGCCCCCUGGGCUAGCACUGACGCUCAGGCACGAAAGCGUGGGGAGCAAACAGG
This 253-nucleotide ribosomal RNA is filed under the name uncultured bacterium. RNAcentral's name for it is "partial 16S ribosomal RNA". It matches the Rfam family "Bacterial small subunit ribosomal RNA", at positions 524 to 776 of the family's 1533-position model. The record is from RNAcentral.